GACGAACGCUGGCGGCGUGCUUAACACAUGCAAGUCGAACGGAAAGGCCCUGCUUUUGUGGGGUGCUCGAGUGGCGAACGGGUGAGUAACACGUGAGUAACCUGCUCUUGACUUUGGGAUAACUUCAGGAAACUGGGGCUAAUACCGGAUAGGAGCUCCUGCUGCAUGGUGGGGGUUGGAAAGUUUCGGCGGUUGGGGAUGGACUCGCGGCUUAUCAGCUUGUUGGUGGGGUAGUGGCUUACCAAGGCUUUGACGGGUAGCCGGCCUGAGAGGGUGACCGGCCACAUUGGGACUGAGAUACGGCCCAGACUCCUACGGGAGGCAGCAGUGGGGAAUAUUGCACAAUGGGCGGAAGCCUGAUGCAGCAACGCCGCGUGCGGGAUGACGGCCUUCGGGUUGUAAACCGCUUUCGCCUGUGACGAAGCGUGAGUGACGGUAAUGGGUAAAGAAGCACCGGCCAACUACGUG
This 468-nucleotide ribosomal RNA is filed under the name uncultured bacterium. Its description in RNAcentral is "partial 16S ribosomal RNA". It matches the Rfam family "Bacterial small subunit ribosomal RNA", at positions 28 to 507 of the family's 1533-position model. The record is from RNAcentral.